This is a non-coding RNA of Pseudonaja textilis, 102 nucleotides long. NCBI's taxonomy places the organism in Eukaryota, Metazoa, Chordata, Lepidosauria, Squamata, Elapidae. The record is from RefSeq and is a predicted model, not a curated record.
GGGAGUUGAAGUCCACCAGCCUUAAAAGUUGCCAAGUUGGAAAACUCCUUGGUCUAGAGCCCAAGCCAAGAUUCUUCAGGUCUUUGGGACUACAAGUCAGGG